UGUGUGUGUGUGUGUGUGUGUGUGUGUGUGUGUGUUAUUGGGAGAGGGAAGUUAAGAGAGCAUGACCGUUCUUCGUAUCGUUCACCCACCAGAUGUCAGUGUGACCUUCAAAUGUUCUUUGAAAAAGCAAACACAUCAAGAAAAGUGUGUGUGAGCGUACUUGUGUGUGGGUGUGUGUGUCCUGGUUGGUUUGAUUGCAAAUGCUUGUGUUCUUCAAUUAUAAAAAACUAAAAGCAUAUUUGGAGAUAUGCUGCAAAGAAUGUACCUAUCUUUGUUUAAGCUGUGUCCGUGCGUAAGUUUUAUAAACUCAGCCGAAUGGAAUCCCAUCAGGACACUCUGGGAUCAUUGUAUUCACAUGUGUUUUUUGUCGUGUUCCUUUUACUGUUGAAAUCCGUGUGUAGCACUAAAACACAGGCCUGUUAGUUGUCAGAAAACUGUGCCAGUUUGAACUAGAGAAUCAGCCUUAACUCUAAAGACCAAGAGAUGCGGAUGCUAGUGGUAGCUUCCCAACUGCAAAUCAUGCACAGAGAGAUGUUGGAGACAACAAAAAUAGCCCAAUCUAAUCAUACUUUUUAUUCAGAGAAUAUGUCAUUCUUUUUUUGUGUGUGCAAUAUUUGCUUUUCUUUGAUGCAUGUGUAUUUGAAUAACUGUGUAUUGGAGGGGGAAAAAAAAUCAUGUUUUUUUAGAAAUUAAGAGAAUUUGAAAGAAUCCAAAAAAGACCUAAUCCUAACAACUCGCAUUCCGUUGUUGUAUAAUACUAAGUUUGUUUUAAAGACUUGUUUUAUAAGUCUGUCUUUUUGUUUGUCAUCACUCCCGGUUAAUAUCAUGUAUCAUGUACAAUUUCUGUUCGCAUGCUAUUGUAACCCCCCCCCCCCCCCCCCCCCCCGGAACCAUUGAAAGAGCACACUGUAUGAAAUUAGUUAAAUGGAAAUGUAUGAAACGCAUACGAACAUCAUGAUUACUUAUAUGAUGACUUAUGUGAGUGAGUGUGAGUGUUAUGUCACACUCACAGGUCAAGUCUACAGAGAAGAGUAAAAAGUGGCACUUGAGGGCUGAGGGCCUGGGCUAUGCCAGGAGCUGCCACAAGGGGGUGCUGGUGAUGGCAGUGCCCUCCCCUGCAUGGCAGUCUCGUGGGCACCUCCCUGGGCAUGCCUCGAUCUGAUUAUCAAAAAGAAAAGAAAAAGAGAAGGAACUCAAAUCUCUUGCCAGUGCAGACGACACAGCAGGGCUUUCUUUUCCACUAAUUGGGAGCUGGGAAAACAUCCUGCCAUCUUGUAUGACCAAUGAAAUAUAAGCACUUACUGAAUAAUAAUUACCACAAAACCUCAGACACCUUGCAUAGUUUUACCUGCCUGAUUUUGUCUUUCUUUUAGAACGCUGUGAUAUUGCCAGCUCUGGGUAGCCAUCAUUUGCUCUGAAUGGCCCUUUGAGGUGGCGCUUGUCCGAGGGCCAAUGACUGGCCAGCACUGACCCGCUGUAGUGUGCUGUGAUUCGGCCCGGUUCUGACCCAAACACAUUUUCCUCUGUGUAAAAGCCAAGUUCGGCUGUCCAUUUUCACCAUAACCUUCACUGGAGCUUUCACGUCUCUAUCCAUAUUUGGCUUCUACUUUUGAGCAAAAGCUUCCCAAACAAUGCAGGAUUGCUUGUCUUUUCUUUGUUUCUUUCCUUUUUUUCUAAAUCCCCAUACAUAUGAAUCAAUGAUACUGAAAUGUGCAUAUCGGUGUACAGUAUAUGUCAACAGUGUGCCUAAAUGUACUGUCAAUUAUAUUUUCUUAUUUUUCUUUAAGAAAAUGAAAAAAAAAAAUCAAUCCGAAUGUCAUGGUUGUUUUUAAUAGACUGAAAAGAGGACUCUAAGAGAAAAACAACAUUUAGAGUGUUUGCAUCAUGCUUCUGAAAUAUUCCUUUUGAGCAGCUCAACUCAGUAUAACACUAAUAAAACUUUAACUCUGACUAACGGAUUGCAUCUUUAAAUGUUCUUUUUAUUAGUCGUCC
Molecule: long non-coding RNA, 1992 nt
Organism: Clupea harengus (Atlantic herring)
Lineage: Eukaryota; Metazoa; Chordata; Actinopteri; Clupeiformes; Clupeidae
Source: Ensembl